AGCAGCCGCGGUAAUUCCAGCUCCAAUAGCGUAUAUUAAAGUUGUUGCAGUUAAAAAGCUCGUAGUUGAAUUUCGGGAUUGACGUGAUGGUCAUGCCUUAAGGGGUAUGAACUGUUACUGUUGAUUUCUCACCUUCUGGAGAAACUUGAUGUCCUUUAUUGGGUGUCUUGCGGAUCCAGGACCUUUACCUUGAAAAAAUUAGAGUGUUUAAAGCAGGCAUUUUUGCUCGAAUACAUUAGCAUGGAAUAAUAGAAUAGGACGGCAUGGUUCUAUUUUGUUGGUUUCUAGGAUCACCGUAAUGAUUAAUAGGGAUAGUUGGGGGCAUUAGUAUUCAAUUGUCAGAGGUGAAAUUCUUGGAUUUAUUGAAGACUAACUACUGCGAAAGCAUUUGCCAAGGAUGUUUUCAUUAAUCAAGAACGAAAGUUAGGGGAUCGAAGACGAUCAGAUACCGUCGUAGUCUUAACCAUAAACUAUGCCGACUAGGAAUCAGACGAUGUUAAUUUUUUCAAUGACUCGUUUG
RNAcentral lists this unclassified non-coding RNA (520 nucleotides) under uncultured Glomus. RNAcentral's name for it is "SSU rRNA". It matches the Rfam family "Eukaryotic small subunit ribosomal RNA", at positions 569 to 1082 of the family's 1831-position model. Lineage: Eukaryota; Fungi; Glomeromycota; Glomeromycetes; Glomerales; Glomeraceae. The record is from RNAcentral. RNAcentral also lists the same sequence under 1 other name.